CCUGUGAGGGUUGCUGGAGGUAUCAGAAGUGCGAAUGCUGACAUAAGUAACGAUAAUGCGGGUGAAAAACCCGCACGCCGGAAGACCAAGGGUUCCUGUCCAACGUUAAUCGGGGCAGGGUGAGUCGACCCCUAAGGCGAGGCCGAAAGGCGUAGUCGAUGGGAAACAGGUUAAUAUUCCUGUACUUGGUGUUACUGCGAAGGGGGGACGGAGAAGGCUAUGUUAGCCGGGCGACGGUUGUCCCGGUUUAAGCAUGUAGGCGGAGGUUCCAGGUAAAUCCGGUACCUUAUUAACGCUGAGGUGUGAUGACGAGGCACUACGGUGCUGAAGUAACAAAUGCCCUGCUUCCAGGAAAAGCCUCUAAGCAUCAGGUAACAUCAAAUCGUACCCCAAACCGACACAGGUGGUCAGGUAGAGAAUACCAAGGCGCUUGAGAGAACUCGGGUGAAGGAACUAGGCAAAAUGGUGCCGUAACUUCGGGAGAAGGCACGCUGACACGUAGGUGAAGUGAUUUACUCA
RNAcentral lists this ribosomal RNA (519 nucleotides) under Salmonella enterica subsp. enterica serovar Livingstone. RNAcentral's name for it is "partial 23S ribosomal RNA". It matches the Rfam family "Bacterial large subunit ribosomal RNA", at positions 1260 to 1772 of the family's 2925-position model. Lineage: Bacteria; Pseudomonadati; Pseudomonadota; Gammaproteobacteria; Enterobacterales; Enterobacteriaceae. The record is from RNAcentral.